This is an RNA transcript of Lycium ferocissimum, 1507 nucleotides long. RefSeq lists it as uncharacterized. NCBI's taxonomy places the organism in Eukaryota, Viridiplantae, Streptophyta, Magnoliopsida, Solanales, Solanaceae. The record is from RefSeq and is a predicted model, not a curated record. The transcript has 4 exons.
UCAAACACCAAUUUACUUGAGAAUUAGCUGAUACUGUAUAUUCUACGAGGGUUUAAUGUGCUAUAUGCACAAGUAAAAUCUACGUGUCUCUUUAUACUUGUAGCCAGCGCAUAGAUUUACUCCUCAUCAUCUCUUUCUCUUUGACAACUCGCCGGGGUUAUGCUAAUUCGCCUCCAGGUGAUUUUUCUCUUCGUAUCUCUUUCUGUAUUUGGGUAUUCUACAAAGUUCCUCUAUUUUGGUUUGAAUUAAUUUCUUCCUGGAUUUUGGUAAAUGUGCAGGCAGGGACCAGGAUUCAACAGGUCGUGGAUGAUAGAUCAAGGAAUAAGGUUUCCCAUUCAUCAAACCACCGCCAAAACUUCUAUAGAACUAUGGUUAAUCAUAUUCAGGAUGAUGAAUCAUUGACAAAAUGUUCAGUGUUUUAUUUGAUGGUGUUGGACGCAUGCUCAAUGACAACUUCAGACUGUUGGUUCACUUAUCUUUUAGUCUUUCUAAAAAAUAUUGGAUUAUCCCCAAGAGAAGAGGCGUGCUGAGCCUGCUAGGAUUAGGGAAUGAGUAUUGCUGGAAAUUUCACAAAAUUAUCAAGUAACUUCUUUAGCUAAACAAAAGUAGUUAAAGCUGCUGGAACAUUAAGGAAGAAGACAACCAAAUAUUUUAAAAAGAAGAACAGAUUCUGAAACAGUGCAGUCUUUUGUCUAAUAAAAGGUUGGUUAAUUAAACACCAUUUGCCUUAAAUGGAUAAGGUUAGAAGUUGAUCUGGAAUUCAACUGUUUAUCAACUUGUCGGGACAUUCAAAAUGGUUCACUAAAUGGAUAAGUCUAAAUUAAACAUCAUGUAUCUGCCUUAAUCAAAUUCUUCUAUGAAACUAAUUUUGUUGUUGCCUUCCAAGAUGCGAUGCUGAUGUUUUUGGGAAGGACAUAGACCUACUCCUGCUGCUGCUUUUAGCUGUUGGGAUAAUAGGUUAGUUCUUCUAUUCAUUAGUUUUCUGUGAACUACAUAUUGAACACAGUUCUUUUAGCCUCUAAGCUGUCAUCUGUGGAGAUACUGCCCAAUUUUCUUCACUUUUUUCCUCUCCUUUGAAAUCUGCCAGGUACAUUUCUCUUCAUUUUUGUCUUUAACUUUAACUUCAAUCUUCUUUAUCUCUGUAGUGGAUCCUUUUACCUGUUUUUCCGCAUAUGAUACUAUAUUACACCUACUCAAAUUUCUCUAUCUUGUAUAGAAACGCUAAUUUCCUACCUUAUGUAACAGGGCCCAAUGUUCUUAUCGAAUGAGGCUACACUCGGCUGACCUUCGAGUUAAUGUAUCGCAUUUUAUUAAUAUGUAAAUAGAAAGUAGGGAUCUUGUAGAAAGGGACUCCUAACCAAACUGCAUCAAGCAGUUUAUACGUAAUAAGUUUGUCUUUUCAAUCUUUGAUAUGUUUGCAUUUCACCACUUAUGGCAUGUACUCAGAAACUGAAAAGUGGCAUAAAUUGUUCACUUUGCAAUUUAGUAUGAAGCUUUUGCAAAUAAA